GGGGCUGUAGCUCAGCUGGGAGAGCGCCUGAUUUGCACUCAGGAGGCCGUCGGUUCGAUUCCGAUCAGCUCCACCA
RNAcentral lists this transfer RNA (76 nucleotides) under Phycisphaerae bacterium. RNAcentral describes it as "tRNA-Ala". It matches the Rfam family "tRNA". From Rfam's summary of the family: Transfer RNA (tRNA) molecules are approximately 80 nucleotides in length. RNAcentral also lists the same sequence under 2 other names. Lineage: Bacteria; Pseudomonadati; Planctomycetota; Phycisphaerae. The record is from RNAcentral.